RNAcentral lists this ribosomal RNA (507 nucleotides) under uncultured bacterium. RNAcentral describes it as "partial 16S ribosomal RNA". It matches the Rfam family "Bacterial small subunit ribosomal RNA", at positions 28 to 507 of the family's 1533-position model. The record is from RNAcentral.
GAUGAACGCUGGCGGCGUGCCUAACACAUGCAAGUCGAACGAUGAAACAGAGAGACGCGAACUUUGGUGCUAACGUCAGUCGGGAGUGGUGGCAGACGGGUGAGUAACGCGUGAGCAAGGUACCUCUCAGAAAGGGAUAGCCUCUGGAAACCGAUAUUAAUAACAUAUGACACAUUCAUAAGGCAUCUUAAUAAUGGUAAAGCUACGGCGGUAAGGGAUGGGCUCGGGUCCCUUGUGAUGGCUGGGGAGGUAACGGCAUACCAAGGCGACGAUGCGUAACGGCCCUGAAAGGGUGAUCGGCCACACUGGAACUGAGACACGGUCCAGACUCCGACGGGAGGCAGCAGUCGGGAAUCUUACGCAAUGGGGGAAAGCCUGAUAGAGCAAAACCGAGUGAGUGAUGAAGGACUUCGGAUGGUAAAGCGCUGUUGUUAGGCAAGAACAAAAGCUCAAUUAUAUAUGAAGGUCAUGACGGUACCAAAGGAGAAAGCCCCGGCUAACUACGUG